CAGCCGCCACGGUAAUACAGAGGGUGCGAGCGUUAAUCGGAUUUACUGGGCGUAAAGCGUGCGUAGGCGGCUAAUUGAGUCGGAUGUGAAAUCCCCGAGCUUAACUUGGGAAUUGCAUUCGAUACUGGUUAGCUAGAGUGUGGGAGAGGAUGGUAGAAUUCCAGGUGUAGCGGUGAAAUGCGUAGAGAUCUGGAGGAAUACCGAUGGCGAAGGCAGCCAUCUGGCAUAACACUGACGCUGAGGUACGAAAGCAUGGGGAGCAAUCAGGAUUAGAUACCCCUGUAGUCCCUGUCUCUUAUAC
RNAcentral lists this ribosomal RNA (301 nucleotides) under uncultured bacterium. Its description in RNAcentral is "partial 16S ribosomal RNA". It matches the Rfam family "Bacterial small subunit ribosomal RNA", at positions 509 to 807 of the family's 1533-position model. The record is from RNAcentral.